RNAcentral lists this ribosomal RNA (119 nucleotides) under Aegilops tauschii subsp. strangulata. Lineage: Eukaryota; Viridiplantae; Streptophyta; Magnoliopsida; Poales; Poaceae. The record is from RNAcentral.
GGAUGUGAUCAUACCAGCACUAAAUCACCAGAUCCCAUCAGAACUCUGAAGUUAAGCGUGCUUGGAUGAGAGUAGUACUAGGAUGGGUGACCUCUUGGGAAGUCCUUGUGUUGCAUUCC